Molecule: ribosomal RNA, 403 nt
Filed under: uncultured bacterium
Lineage: Bacteria
Description: bacterial SSU rRNA
Rfam family: Bacterial small subunit ribosomal RNA
Source: RNAcentral
GAAUAUUGCGCAAUGGGGGAAACCCUGACGCAGCGACGCCGCGUGAGUGAUGAAGGUUUUCGAGUCGUAAAACUCUGUUCUCAAGGAAUACAAAAAUGAAGGUACUUGAGAAGAAAGGACCGGCCAACUUCGUGCCAGCAGCCGCGGUAAUACGAGGGGUCCAAGCGUUGUUCGGAAUCAUUGGGCGUAAAGCGGGUGUAGGCGGACCAAUAAGUCAGAAGUGAAAGCCCUGGGCUCAACCCAGGAAGUGCUUUUGAUACUGUUGGUCUUGAGUGUGCGAGAGGGUGGUAGAAUUCCUGGUGUAGUGGUGAAAUACGUAGAUAUCAGGAGGAACACCGGUGGCGAAGGCGGCCAACUGGCGCAACACUGACGCUCAGACCCGAAAGCGUGGGGAGCAAACAGG